AACGAACGCUGGCGGCAUGCCUAACACAUGCAAGUCGAACGAGACCUUCGGGUCUAGUGGCGCACGGGUGCGUAACGCGUGGGAACCUGCCCUUAGGUUCGGAAUAACUCCCCGAAAGGGGUGCUAAUACCGGAUAAUGUCUUCGGACCAAAGAUUUAUCGCCUUUGGAUGGGCCCGCGUUGGAUUAGCUAGUUGGUAGGGUAAAAGCCUACCAAGGCGACGAUCCAUAGCUGGUCUGAGAGGAUGAUCAGCCACACUGGGACUGAGACACGGCCCAGACCCCUACGGGGGGCAGGAGGGGGGAAUAUGGGACAAGGGGCGAAAGCCUGAUCCAGCAAUGCCGGGGGAGUGAUGAAGGCUUUGGGGUUGUAAAGCUUUUUUACCCGGGAUGAUAAUGACAGUACCGGGAGAAUAAGCCCCGGCAAACUCCGG
RNAcentral lists this ribosomal RNA (432 nucleotides) under uncultured bacterium. Its description in RNAcentral is "partial 16S ribosomal RNA". It matches the Rfam family "Bacterial small subunit ribosomal RNA", at positions 29 to 506 of the family's 1533-position model. The record is from RNAcentral.